AGCUAUAAACCCUAAAGACAAAGAAAAUGGAAGAGAAGAGAACUUCAAAAAAAUGAACUGCCAAUGAAUUUGAGAUAGAAUGAAAAUAGAUGAAGAAAACCACAAAGCAGAGAAAUUGAACAGCAAAGAUCUAUGGAACGGGCACAGAGGCAUAAGAAACCUCAGGGAAGAGCAUGAAGAUCAGUUCACCACCAUCUUGAGGUGUCCCUGGUGGCUUAGUGGUAAAGAAUCUGCCUGCCAAGGCAGGAGACAUGGGUUCGACUCCUGGGUGGGGAAGAUCCUCUGGAGAAGAAAAUGGCAACCCACUUCAGUAUUCUUGCCUGGGAAAUCCCACAGACAGAAGAGCCUGGUGGUCUACAAUCUAUGGGUCACAGAGAGUCGGACAUAAACAAC
This is a long non-coding RNA of Dama dama (fallow deer), 393 nucleotides long. RefSeq lists it as uncharacterized. The transcript is spliced from 3 exons. The record is from RefSeq and is a predicted model, not a curated record. NCBI's taxonomy places the organism in Eukaryota, Metazoa, Chordata, Mammalia, Artiodactyla, Cervidae.